UGGGUGGUCUUUAUUUUGGUUGAAGGGUA
RNAcentral lists this non-coding RNA (29 nucleotides) under Mus musculus (house mouse). The record is from RNAcentral. Lineage: Eukaryota; Metazoa; Chordata; Mammalia; Rodentia; Muridae.